RNAcentral lists this unclassified non-coding RNA (232 nucleotides) under Glomus sp. RNAcentral's name for it is "partial contains 5.8S ribosomal RNA and internal transcribed spacer 2". The stretch from base 1 to 71 matches the Rfam family "5.8S ribosomal RNA", at positions 84 to 154 of the family's 154-position model. The record is from RNAcentral. Lineage: Eukaryota; Fungi; Glomeromycota; Glomeromycetes; Glomerales; Glomeraceae.
GUGAAUCAUCGAAUUUUUGAACGCAAAUUGCACUUUCUGGUAUUCCGGAAAGUAUGCCUGUUUGAGGGUCAGUUAAAUAUAAAUCGGUGGUGUGGCUGCUUGUCUUGGUGACGCGUCGGCAUUGAGUUGUGUUACCUUCGGUUAAGUGACUUGAGAUUUGGCUUGAUUUUCGAACGUAUUUAAAUCGCUUACGUACUUUUGAGGUAUCGAAUGCGUAUUAGGUUCGGUCAUU